This is a long non-coding RNA of Pollicipes pollicipes, 191 nucleotides long. RefSeq lists it as uncharacterized. Lineage: Eukaryota; Metazoa; Arthropoda; Thecostraca; Pollicipedomorpha; Pollicipedidae. The record is from RefSeq and is a predicted model, not a curated record. The transcript has 3 exons.
ACAAGAUGGGCAACCACGUCCACAGAUUGCUCCUCAGCAGCCUUGUUUUGGAACUCCAGGGACCCCUGUGGCUCGUACAUAUGGCAGUGGAGGAUCUGCAUACAAUGGAAUGCAGCAUGGACACUACCCAUCAAGCAGCUCUCAAAAUAUGAUGCAGCGAUCAGGUGGAAACAUGGUGCAAAACCGGUACC